GGAAUAUUGGACAAUGGGGGCAACCCUGAUCCAGCAAUCCCGCGUGAGGGACGAAGGCUUUCGGGUCGUAAACCUCUUUCAGUAGGGACGAAGGGAAACUUGACGGUACCUACAAAAGAAGCACCGGCUAACUCCGUGCCAGGCGCCGCGGUAAUACGGAGGGUGCAAGCGUUGUUCGGAAUCAUUGGGCGUAAAGCGCGUGUAGGCGGUUUCGUAAGUCUGAUGUGAAAUCCCGGGGCUUAACCCCGGAAGUGCAUUGGAUACUGUGAAACUAGAGGACGAGAGAGGGAAGCGGAAUUCCUGGUGUAGGGGUGAAAUCCGUAGAUAUCAGGAGGAACGUCGGAGGCGAAGGCGGCUUCCUGGCUCGUAUCUGACGCUGAGACGCGAAAGCGUGGGUAGCAAAC
This 404-nucleotide ribosomal RNA is filed under the name uncultured bacterium. Its description in RNAcentral is "bacterial SSU rRNA". It matches the Rfam family "Bacterial small subunit ribosomal RNA", at positions 358 to 773 of the family's 1533-position model. The record is from RNAcentral.